This 111-nucleotide ribosomal RNA is filed under the name Caerostris extrusa. Lineage: Eukaryota; Metazoa; Arthropoda; Arachnida; Araneae; Araneidae. The record is from RNAcentral.
AUAACCAUACCAUGAUGAAUAUACGGUUCUCGUUAGAUCACCUAAGUCAAGCAUCAUUGGGCGCAGUCAGUACUUGGGUGGGUGACCAUCUGGCAACACCGCGUGCCGCUG